AAAGCCUCUGCGUUUUGGCGUCAACCACGAAGGGGUGGGUAUUUGACUUCAUCAUUAAGGUUUGGUCGUCAGGGGUGAGUAUCAAGGUUAAUCAACGACAUGGCGUGGGCCAGCACUAAAUACACAGCAGCCUACUACAAGGAGCCAGCCAAAUACAUUCAUCUUGUAACAUGGGGCUGGGUGUUAUCGUGACACGGUAGCUUAUAUCGUUACUCCAACAUUCAGACACUGGCUGCAAUAUUACUGACACGGUAGCUUACAUCGCUCCUCCAACAUUCAGACAAUGACUGCAAUAUUCCCGACACGGCGUACAUCCACUCUAGGUAGGCCUGUACAUGUAUGGCUACAUCCUCUCACGCUUCAGACAAGAUAAGGUUUACAUAAUCUAUACAUGUUAUGAAGGCUGAUGCAGCGUAAACAACAAUAUAUCUGCUACCAAAGUCAUCACGUACAGCAUUCCGCUGAUGACAGACCAAAUAGUGAUGAAGAGAGGCGGUCGUGUUCCGGCUUGUGACAUCAAGAGAUCGCCAGGCAGUUUACAACAUGGCUGUACUUGGUCCAGAGCCCUAUGAUCGUGGGUUCGAAUCCAGUUUCAGACGAUUUUAUUUGUAGGUUUGUCAUUACGUGCAUAUUGCUUGUGUCACCAAAGCGUUAAAGAUGCAAGGCCUGCAUCAGUUCAGGCUGUCCUACAACACUACACUGACGGGCCCUGAUACAACUUAAGUGAUGUUCCAAACUCAUUCACUGACUCUCUCUCACUUACAGAAGUACGACAGGCCCAGCCUGUCUUGCAACAUGACCCCUGCCGAACUGAAGGCUGGCGAGCAGUACCGACACAGCGGCGGCCCGGUGCACAUCGGUACACACGAGGUAGAGAAGGGGGAGGGGCUGGACAAGAACGGUCUGGGAGGUGGGGCCGACAAUCCAGGAUUCGACCCACCGCCGUACAGUGAAACGUUUGAACAACCCAGUACACGGCUAUGAGAAAGGUUGUAAAUGGUGCAUAGUAUACAAAAUUUCUGUUCUAGAUAUCUCCACAUCUCUAACAAAUCCCAGUGACUCCAACAUAUCUGUUUGUGCCGCGCUACGGGAUGGCUCAGUAGGAUGCAAUGUUCCAAGAAUGAUGCUCGAACAGAGUACAAACCUGGACUCAGAUGAUUGCGGUAUUGUUUAUUAACAUGUUUGUUUGGCGUAGGACUUAACGCGUGAUAUAACCUUAGGGCGUGUACAGCUGUAUACAAUCAGACAAUAAUAUGUCGAGGAACAGUUUACGUUUGCUCCACUAAAUUCUUAAUUUGAAGAAAAUAAUUCACAAAAUCAUCAAGCUUAAUGACCAUGUCAACAUUAUUAGCAUCAAUUGAAUAAAAAGGCAGCGCAUCCCUGCAGUACCUCCCCACCCAAAUGUUUGUUAAAACAUUAAAACAGAGCAGGUGACUGACUCUCCAAGUAUACGAUCUGUAACGAGAGUUUUCAACUCAUAUUGCAAUGAUCCUGUAAUGCUAUUAAUGUCUUUGGUUGCUGAGUGACGCGGCGCCCACUGAAAUGCUCAUGUUGACAUGUCACGAGUCCCAUUGCGAAGGUCAGGCGCGUAGCAAGCCGUUUUUAUCGUGUAAGCCCAAUAGGUUGCAAAGCUUCAUAUUUCGAUAGUGUUGAGGGCUUGCCUAUUUUUUUUUCAACAAUCAAUUGUAAGCCCGGGCUUUUUGUUGUAAUAGUAGCUACGCCCCUGGCUGUCGUCGGAUUAUAUUAAUAUUUUCAGAUAUGUUCACUGUAUAUUUUUUUAAUAUUUGAAAUAAAGUAUAUUUCGUAUUAAGUUGUA
This 1816-nucleotide long non-coding RNA is filed under the name Haliotis rubra (blacklip abalone). Its description in RNAcentral is "uncharacterized LOC124271248". The record is from RNAcentral. Lineage: Eukaryota; Metazoa; Mollusca; Gastropoda; Lepetellida; Haliotidae.